UGGGGAAUCUUGGACAAUGGGCGCAAGCCUGAUCCAGCCAUGCCGCGUGAGUGAUGAAGGCCUUAGGGUCGUAAAGCUCUUUCGCCAGAGAUGAUAAUGACAGUAUCUGGUAAAGAAACCCCGGCUAACUCCGUGCCAGCAGCCGCGGUAAUACGGAGGGGGUUAGCGUUGUUCGGAAUUACUGGGCGUAAAGCGCACGUAGGCGGAUCAGAAAGUAAGGGGUGAAAUCCCAGGGCUCAACCCUGGAACUGCCUCUUAAACUCCUGGUCUUGAGUUCGAGAGAGGUGAGUGGAAUUCCGAGUGUAGAGGUGAAAUUCGUAGAUAUUCGGAGGAACACCAGUGGCGAAGGCGGCUCACUGGCUCGAUACUGACGCUGAGGUGCGAAAGUGUGGGGAGCAAACAGGAUUAGAUACCCUGGUAGUCCACACCGUAAACGAUGAAUGCCAGUCGUCGGGUAGCAUGCUAUUCGGUGACACACCUAACGGAUUAAGCAUUCCGCCUGGGGAGUACGGUCGCAAGAUUA
RNAcentral lists this ribosomal RNA (523 nucleotides) under uncultured bacterium. RNAcentral's name for it is "bacterial SSU rRNA". It matches the Rfam family "Bacterial small subunit ribosomal RNA", at positions 355 to 896 of the family's 1533-position model. The record is from RNAcentral.